RNAcentral lists this transfer RNA (73 nucleotides) under Dipodomys ordii (Ord's kangaroo rat). It matches the Rfam family "tRNA". From Rfam's summary of the family: Transfer RNA (tRNA) molecules are approximately 80 nucleotides in length. Their secondary structure includes four short double-helical elements and three loops (D, anti-codon, and T loops). The record is from Rfam by way of RNAcentral. Lineage: Eukaryota; Metazoa; Chordata; Mammalia; Rodentia; Heteromyidae.
UGUGGUGUGGCUCAAACGAUAGAGCAGUUGCCUAGCAAGUUGAAGACCCUGAGUUCGAAUCCCACCACCACCA